This 446-nucleotide ribosomal RNA is filed under the name uncultured bacterium. Its description in RNAcentral is "partial 16S ribosomal RNA". It matches the Rfam family "Bacterial small subunit ribosomal RNA", at positions 338 to 795 of the family's 1533-position model. The record is from RNAcentral.
CCUACGGGCGGCAGCAGUCGAGAAUCAUUCACAAUGGGGGAAACCCUGAUGGUGCGACGCCGCGUGGGGGAAUGAAGGUCUUCGGAUUGUAAACCCCUGUCAUGUGGGAGCAAAUUAAAAAGAUAGUACCACAAGAGGAAGAGACGGCUAACUCUGUGCCAGCAGCCGCGGUAAUACAGAGGUCUCAAGCGUUGUUCGGAAGCACUGGGCGUAAAGCGUGCGUAGGCUGUUUCGUAAGUCGUGUGUGAAAGGCGCGGGCUCAACCCGCGGACGGCACAUGAUACUGCGAGACUAGAGUGAUGGAGGGGGAACCGGAAUGCUCGGUGUAGCAGUGAAAUGCGUAGAUAUCGAGAGGAACACUCGUGGCGAAGGCGGGUUCCUGGACAUUAACUGACGCUGAGGCACGAAGGCCAGGGGAGCGAAAGGGAUUAGAUACCCCAGUAGUC